CAAAGCAAACUUGAAAGUGAAGAGUUUGAUCCUGGCUCAGAUUGAACGCUGGAGGCAUGCUUAACACAUGCAAGUCGAACGGAAACAGCAAGAGCUUGCUCUUGGCUGUCGAGUGGCG
RNAcentral lists this ribosomal RNA (118 nucleotides) under Gammaproteobacteria bacterium. RNAcentral describes it as "partial 16S ribosomal RNA". The stretch from base 14 to 118 matches the Rfam family "Bacterial small subunit ribosomal RNA", at positions 1 to 100 of the family's 1533-position model. The record is from RNAcentral. Lineage: Bacteria; Pseudomonadati; Pseudomonadota; Gammaproteobacteria.